AUGCCGUCGCUCUCCUGCCACAACCUGCUGGACCUGGCGGAGGAGCUGCCCCCAUCCCCGCUCCGGCUCCCGCGGGUCAUGGCCGGCGCCUCCCCCUCCUCGCCGGCCUCGCCGUCCCCGGCCGGGCCACCUCGCCGGGUCAUCGUCUCGCACCGGCUCCCCCUCCGCGCGUCCCCCGACCCCGCGGCGCCGUUCGGGCUGCGCUUCACCGUCGACGCGGGCACCGUCGCCUACCAGCUCCGCUCGGGCCUGCCCGCCUCCGCCCCCGUGCUGCACGUCGGCACGCUGCCCCCCGCCGCCGCCGAGGCCGCCUCCGACGAGCUCGCCAGCUACCUGGUGGCGCACUUCUCCUGCCUCCCCGUCUUCCUCCCCGCCGACCUCCACGGCAAGUUCUACCACGGCUUCUGCAAGCACUACAUGUGGCCGCUCCUCCACUACCUGCUCCCGCUCACGCCCUCCACGCUCGGGGGGCUGCCCUUCGACCGCGCGCUCUACCACUCCUUCCUCUCCGCCAACCGCGCCUUCGCCGACCGCCUCACCGAGGUGCUCGCCCCCGACGACGACUUCGUCUGGAUCCAGGACUACCACCUCCUCGCCCUCCCCACCUUCCUCCGCAAGCGCUUCCCGCGCGCCAGAGUCGGAUUCUUCCUCCACUCGCCCUUCCCCUCCUCCGAGAUCUUCCGCACCAUCCCCGUCCGCGACGACCUGCUCCGCGCCCUCCUCAACGCCGACCUCGUCGGCUUCCACACCUUCGACUACGCGCGCCACUUCCUUUCGGCCUGCUCCCGCCUCCUCGGCCUCGACUACCAGUCCAAGCGCGGAUACAUCGGCAUCGAGUACUACGGCCGCACCGUCACCGUCAAGAUUCUGCCCGUCGGCAUCGACAUGGGCCAGCUCCGGUCGGUCGUGUCGGCGCCGGAGACGGCGGACGUGGUGCGCCAGGUCGCCGACGCCUACAAGGGGAGGCGCCUCAUGCUCGGCGUGGACGACGUCGACCUCUUCAAGGGGAUCGGGCUCAAGUUCCUGGGGAUGGAGCAGCUGCUGGUGGAGAACCCCGAGCUCCGGGGCAAGGCCGUGCUCGUGCAAAUCACCAAUCCGGCGCGCAGCGAGGGCCGGGACGUGCAGGAGGUGCAGGAUGAGGCCAGAGCCAUCAGCGCCCGUGUCAACGAGCGGUUCGGCACCCCCGGGUACACCCCCAUCGUGAUGAUCAGCCGCCCGGUGUCGGAGCACGAGAAGGCGGCUUACUACGCCGCCGCCGAGUGCUGCGUGGUGAGCGCCGUCCGCGACGGGCUCAACCGGAUUCCGUACAUCUACACGGUGUGCCGGCAGGAGAGCACCGCCCUGGGCGACGCCCCCAAGCGAAGCGUCAUCGUGCUGUCCGAGUUCGUGGGAUGCUCCCCGUCGCUCAGCGGGGCGAUCCGGGUGAACCCAUGGAGCGUGGAGUCCGUGGCAGAGGCCAUGAGCUCGGCAUUGAGGAUGUCCGACGGCGAGCAGCGGCUGCGCCACGAGAAGCAUUACAAGUAUGUGAGCACCCAUGAUGUGGCCUACUGGGCGCGGUCCUUCGACCAGGACCUGCAGCGGGCCUGCAAGGACCAUUUCUCGCGGCGGCAUUGGGGGAUUGGGUUCGGGAUGAGCUUCAAGGUGGUGGCGCUUGGCCCAAAUUUCAGGCGGCUCUCCGUCGAGCACAUUGUGCCGUCGUUCAGGAAGACGGAGAACCGGCUGAUUCUCCUGGACUACGAUGGCACCGUGAUGCCGGAGAGUUCCAUCGACAAGGCGCCGAGCAGUGAGGUCAUCUCUGUCUUGAAUCGGCUGUGCGAAGAUCCGAAGAACAGGGUGUUCAUCGUGAGCGGUCGGGGGAAGGAUGAGCUGAGCAAGUGGUUCGCGCCAUGUGAGAAGCUGGGGAUUGCUGCAGAGCAUGGCUACUUCACUAGGUGGAGCAAGGAAUCGCCAUGGGAGACCUGCGGGCUGGUGGCAGACUUCGAUUGGAAGAAGACGGCCGAGCCGGUGAUGAGACUGUACACAGAGGCCACCGAUGGAUCGUACAUCGAGCACAAGGAGAGCGCGCUGGUGUGGCACCACGACGAGGCGGAUCCUGACUUCGGUUCAUGCCAGGCGAAGGAGCUGCUCGACCAUCUCGAGAGCGUGCUCGCCAACGAGCCAGUCGUCGUGAAGAGGGGCCAGCACAUCGUGGAGGUUAACCCCCAGGGCAUCAGCAAGGGCGUGGUGGUGGAGAGCCUCCUGUCGUCCAUGGUGCGCGGCGGCAAGGCGCCCGACUUCGUGCUCUGCAUCGGGGACGACCGGUCCGACGAGGACAUGUUCGAGAGCAUCGUGUGCCCGGCCAACGGCAGCGUGAAGCUCCCGGCGACGAGCGAGGUGUUCGCGUGCACCGUGGGGAAGAAGCCGAGCAUGGCCAAGUACUACCUGGACGACACGGUGGACGUGAUCAAGAUGCUGCAGGGGCUCGCGAACGCGCCGUCGCAGCAGCGGCCGUGGCCCGUGCAGCUCCGGGUCACCUUCGAGGAAGGAAACGGAGUAUGA
Molecule: ribosomal RNA, 2538 nt
Filed under: Triticum aestivum (bread wheat)
Lineage: Eukaryota; Viridiplantae; Streptophyta; Magnoliopsida; Poales; Poaceae
Description: partial small subunit ribosomal RNA
Source: RNAcentral